AUUGAACGCUGGCGGCAUGCUUUACACAUGCAAGUCGAACGGCAGCGCGGGCUUCGGCCUGGCGGCGAGUGGCGAACGGGUGAGUAAUGCAUCGGAACGUGCCCAGUCUUGGGGGAUAGCCCGGCGAAAGCCGGAUUAAUACCGCAUACGACCUGAGGGUGAAAGCGGGGGACCGAAAGUCCUCGCGCCAUUUGAGCGGCCGAUGUCGGAUUCGCUAGUUGGUUGGGUAAAGGCUUACCAAGGCGACGAUCCGUAGCUGGUCUGAUAGGACGACCAGCCACACUGGGACGGAGACACGGCCAAGACUCCUACGGGAGGAAGCAGAGGGGAAUUUUGGACAAUGGGGGAAAUCCGAAUCCAGCCAUGCCGCGUGCGGGAAGAAGGCCUUCGGGUUGUAAACCGCUUUUGUUCGGGAAGAAAUCCUCUGGGCUAAUACCCCGGGGGAAUGACGGUACCGGAAGAAUAAGCACCGGCUAACUACGUG
RNAcentral lists this ribosomal RNA (484 nucleotides) under uncultured bacterium. Its description in RNAcentral is "partial 16S ribosomal RNA". It matches the Rfam family "Bacterial small subunit ribosomal RNA", at positions 29 to 507 of the family's 1533-position model. The record is from RNAcentral.